GGAAGUUAAUUUGAAACGCGAUUUUUUAUAAGUUAGCAGCUAUUAUCAUGCAUAUUCAGAGUUGUUUUGUGAACUUUCAACAUUCUACUAUUAAACUACAAAAAAUGGAAGAUUUUGCAACGAAUAUAAAACUUAUAUUGAGCGUCGAAAGAUUUUCCCGGUUUUUUCCCGAUUCGCCUCUCAAUCCCUAAUCGCCCCAUUUUACCGGUACCUACUUAUUUAUGUAGUUAGCUAAGUACGGUAUUGUAUUCAUAGUAAAUAUCAAGUAAUAGUGUUCUGUGGUAAAUAUUACCGGCUGUUAAACAAUUUAAACAUUCUAUCAAAAAUUUAAAAAUAUCCGCCCGUAUUGCACCAGCUACGAAAAGAGAUAAAUUAAUGAUAAGUGUAAUUAAUGUAUUUUAGAAAUAUGGAUAGUGUAGAAAAAAACCAUAAAAUCAAACAAGAAUUUGUCAUGGAACUUUUUUUAGACACCGAAAGUGUUUCUAUUGUCGAUAGAUUGGCUGCUGCUACAGCAAAUGUGAUAAACGAAAACCAUCAAAAUCUGACCAAAUUUAAUGAUCUUAUGAAAACAGAAUAUUAUCAGCUAUCACAGAUGAUGGUUCAAGAUUGCCAUUCCGGUGUACCUGUUGCCCAUAGGAUUAAAGGUUUCUAUGAAGAGACUAUUAGAAAAUUUGGUAAUAACGAAUACAUAGAGAGGUUUAAGAUGAAGAGGUCUACCGUUCAGGCUUUGAUUGCAUUUCUGAAACCUUAUCUAAAACCUGGAAAUGUACCAUUAGAUAAAAAAGUUCAUGUUUUUCUAUGGUUUAUGGUCAAUGAUUCUUCAUAUAGUGACAUAGGAAGAUUAUUUGGAUUACACAAGUCUUCAGUGAGUUACAUAUUCCACGAAAUUGCAUUACUGCUAACAGAAGAGAAGGAACGUUUCAUAAGUUGGCCAUCCGUUGAGAAGCAACAACUAAUCAGUAAUAAUGUCAAUAGCAGGUUUCGAUUUCCAAAUUGUGUGGGAUUUAUUGAUGCAUGUCGUCUAAAAGUUGGUUCUCAAAGAAAUAAAAGGGAAAAACCAGACAUAGUCCUCUUGCAAGCGGUUUGUGAUGAUUACUUGACAUUUGUAGAUAUACAUGUUGGAGAUAUUGGGAAAACUAAAAAGAGCAAAUUAUUCAAGGAUAGUUCACUUUCAAAUGAAUUAAAAAUAAAAGUGGAUUUUCAAAAGCACAUACUUGGUGAUUCAGAAUACAAACUUAAAAAAUAUCUGAUAACUCCCUUUACUAGUGAAGAAGUUUUGACAAGUGAAGAAAUGAAAUUUAAUGAAAUUCACUGGAAAACACGUAGUUAUAUAGCACAUGCAUUUGAGUUGUUAAAAGAAAGAUUCCGAAAACUUAAUCACAUAGAUGUUUUAAAACCAGAAUCUGUUAAUAUAUUAAUUAUUUCGGCUUGUGUACUUCACAACUUUGUAUUGUUACAUGAAGGCUGUUCGGAAGUCAAAGAAGAAUUGAUAACUUGUGAUGAUGGUGUUACUAUAAAUAGCAAUGUUGUCAAAACAGCAGAAGAGAAAAGACAGUUUUUAUGUAAUUACAUUGAAUACAUGGGUAUUGAAAAUAAUUAACAAAAUAAAUUAUAACGUUUUAAGGGUCUGAAAUAACAAUAAUACUAAAACUCGAAGAUUUUACACUUUUAUUAAUACUUAUUUGUUCAAGUUUAAAAAAUUGCUAAAAAAAUGAAAUUAAAAUAUACAAUAUCUGAUGUAAGUUACAACGGAAGCUGCAUAUCAUAUGUAAAAGAACUUAAAAGUGACUUUUGGAAAUGCAUCAUGGAUAUAGGUAAUGGCUCCAGGUAAUAGGGAUAUACUUGAAAAAAAAAUGGCGUUGGCGAGGCAGUGGCAGUCGUAAAGCACAAUCGCGCACAGUCGCGUGUAGCCUCGACACACUCGGCAGGAAUACUGGCGCGGCGCCCCUCUAUCUCUCCACUCCGAACUUGCCCGACAGGCUCUACCUCUCUACCUCAACAUGCGUGUGCGCCGAUGCCACGUUUUCGUCUCGCUACAGCGUUACCAGUUCGUAUAGGUACCUAAUACUUUUUUUUGUUUUCUGUUGAUGUUGAAUAUACGAACCACAGAAUAAAAACUUUUGUAUUAUAGUGGCUUUGAAAGCUUAAGUAAGCCCUUAUAUUAUAGUGUAGUCAAUAUUUGUGGCCGCAUGUCUGGUAUUUUAUUGCUUCAGUGUAAAGAAUAAUUGUGGUUAUUGAGUGAUUAAAUGUUAAUGACGAUUAAACGAUUACAUGCUCUGUA
This is an RNA transcript of Bombyx mori (domestic silkworm), 2281 nucleotides long. RefSeq lists it as uncharacterized. NCBI's taxonomy places the organism in Eukaryota, Metazoa, Arthropoda, Insecta, Lepidoptera, Bombycidae. The transcript is spliced from 4 exons. The record is from RefSeq and is a predicted model, not a curated record.